This 2924-nucleotide ribosomal RNA is filed under the name Escherichia coli. RNAcentral describes it as "partial 23S ribosomal RNA". It matches the Rfam family "Bacterial large subunit ribosomal RNA". Lineage: Bacteria; Pseudomonadati; Pseudomonadota; Gammaproteobacteria; Enterobacterales; Enterobacteriaceae. The record is from RNAcentral.
GGGUUGUGAGGUUAAGCGACUAAGCGUACACGGUGGAUGCCCUGGCAGUCAGAGGCGAUGAAGGACGUGCUAAUCUGCGAUAAGCGUCGGUAAGGUGAUAUGAACCGUUAUAACCGGCGAUUUCCGAAUGGGGAAACCCAGUGUGUUUCGACACACUAUCAUUAACUGAAUCCAUAGGUUAAUGAGGCGAACCGGGGGAACUGAAACAUCUAAGUACCCCGAGGAAAAGAAAUCAACCGAGAUUCCCCCAGUAGCGGCGAGCGAACGGGGAGCAGCCCAGAGCCUGAAUCAGUAUGUGUGUUAGUGGAAGCGUCUGGAAAGGCGCGCGAUACAGGGUGACAGCCCCGUACACAAAAAUGCACAUGCUGUGAGCUCGAUGAGUAGGGCGGGACACGUGGUAUCCUGUCUGAAUAUGGGGGGACCAUCCUCCAAGGCUAAAUACUCCUGACUGACCGAUAGUGAACCAGUACCGUGAGGGAAAGGCGAAAAGAACCCCGGCGAGGGGAGUGAAAAAGAACCUGAAACCGUGUACGUACAAGCAGUGGGAGCACGCUUAGGCGUGUGACUGCGUACCUUUUGUAUAAUGGGUCAGCGACUUAUAUUCUGUAGCAAGGUUAACCGAAUAGGGGAGCCGAAGGGAAACCGAGUCUUAACUGGGCGUUAAGUUGCAGGGUAUAGACCCGAAACCCGGUGAUCUAGCCAUGGGCAGGUUGAAGGUUGGGUAACACUAACUGGAGGACCGAACCGACUAAUGUUGAAAAAUUAGCGGAUGACUUGUGGCUGGGGGUGAAAGGCCAAUCAAACCGGGAGAUAGCUGGUUCUCCCCGAAAGCUAUUUAGGUAGCGCCUCGUGAAUUCAUCUCCGGGGGUAGAGCACUGUUUCGGCAAGGGGGUCAUCCCGACUUACCAACCCGAUGCAAACUGCGAAUACCGGAGAAUGUUAUCACGGGAGACACACGGCGGGUGCUAACGUCCGUCGUGAAGAGGGAAACAACCCAGACCGCCAGCUAAGGUCCCAAAGUCAUGGUUAAGUGGGAAACGAUGUGGGAAGGCCCAGACAGCCAGGAUGUUGGCUUAGAAGCAGCCAUCAUUUAAAGAAAGCGUAAUAGCUCACUGGUCGAGUCGGCCUGCGCGGAAGAUGUAACGGGGCUAAACCAUGCACCGAAGCUGCGGCAGCGACACUAUGUGUUGUUGGGUAGGGGAGCGUUCUGUAAGCCUGUGAAGGUGUGCUGUGAGGCAUGCUGGAGGUAUCAGAAGUGCGAAUGCUGACAUAAGUAACGAUAAAGCGGGUGAAAAGCCCGCUCGCCGGAAGACCAAGGGUUCCUGUCCAACGUUAAUCGGGGCAGGGUGAGUCGACCCCUAAGGCGAGGCCGAAAGGCGUAGUCGAUGGGAAACAGGUUAAUAUUCCUGUACUUGGUGUUACUGCGAAGGGGGGACGGAGAAGGCUAUGUUGGCCGGGCGACGGUUGUCCCGGUUUAAGCGUGUAGGCUGGUUUUCCAGGCAAAUCCGGAAAAUCAAGGCUGAGGCGUGAUGACGAGGCACUACGGUGCUGAAGCAACAAAUGCCCUGCUUCCAGGAAAAGCCUCUAAGCAUCAGGUAACAUCAAAUCGUACCCCAAACCGACACAGGUGGUCAGGUAGAGAAUACCAAGGCGCUUGAGAGAACUCGGGUGAAGGAACUAGGCAAAAUGGUGCCGUAACUUCGGGAGAAGGCACGCUGAUAUGUAGGUGAAGUCCCUCGCGGAUGGAGCUGAAAUCAGUCGAAGAUACCAGCUGGCUGCAACUGUUUAUUAAAAACACAGCACUGUGCAAACACGAAAGUGGACGUAUACGGUGUGACGCCUGCCCGGUGCCGGAAGGUUAAUUGAUGGGGUCAGCGCAAGCGAAGCUCUUGAUCGAAGCCCCGGUAAACGGCGGCCGUAACUAUAACGGUCCUAAGGUAGCGAAAUUCCUUGUCGGGUAAGUUCCGACCUGCACGAAUGGCGUAAUGAUGGCCAGGCUGUCUCCACCCGAGACUCAGUGAAAUUGAACUCGCUGUGAAGAUGCAGUGUACCCGCGGCAAGACGGAAAGACCCCGUGAACCUUUACUAUAGCUUGACACUGAACAUUGAGCCUUGAUGUGUAGGAUAGGUGGGAGGCUUUGAAGUGUGGACGCCAGUCUGCAUGGAGCCGACCUUGAAAUACCACCCUUUAAUGUUUGAUGUUCUAACGUGGACCCGUGAUCCGGGUUGCGGACAGUGUCUGGUGGGUAGUUUGACUGGGGCGGUCUCCUCCUAAAGAGUAACGGAGGAGCACGAAGGUUGGCUAAUCCUGGUCGGACAUCAGGAGGUUAGUGCAAUGGCAUAAGCCAGCUUGACUGCGAGCGUGACGGCGCGAGCAGGUGCGAAAGCAGGUCAUAGUGAUCCGGUGGUUCUGAAUGGAAGGGCCAUCGCUCAACGGAUAAAAGGUACUCCGGGGAUAACAGGCUGAUACCGCCCAAGAGUUCAUAUCGACGGCGGUGUUUGGCACCUCGAUGUCGGCUCAUCACAUCCUGGGGCUGAAGUAGGUCCCAAGGGUAUGGCUGUUCGCCAUUUAAAGUGGUACGCGAGCUGGGUUUAGAACGUCGUGAGACAGUUCGGUCCCUAUCUGCCGUGGGCGCUGGAGAACUGAGGGGGGCUGCUCCUAGUACGAGAGGACCGGAGUGGACGCAUCACUGGUGUUCGGGUUGUCAUGCCAAUGGCACUGCCCGGUAGCUAAAUGCGGAAGAGAUAAGUGCUGAAAGCAUCUAAGCACGAAACUUGCCCCGAGAUGAGUUCUCCCUGACCCUUUAAGGGUCCUGAAGGAACGUUGAAGACGACGACGUUGAUAGGCCGGGUGUGUAAGCGCAGCGAUGCGUUGAGCUAACCGGUACUAAUGAACCGUGAGGCUUAACCUUACAACGCCGAAG